This 405-nucleotide ribosomal RNA is filed under the name Triticum aestivum (bread wheat). RNAcentral's name for it is "partial small subunit ribosomal RNA". Lineage: Eukaryota; Viridiplantae; Streptophyta; Magnoliopsida; Poales; Poaceae. The record is from RNAcentral.
AUGGAUUGCAUUGGGGCAAUAGAUGGUACUCAUGUCACUACCAGAGUGCCGAGGUCACAAUCUGCAGCAUAUAGAGGGAGGAAGCACUACACAAGCCAGAAUGUGCUUGUUGUUAUUGACUUCAAUCUGAAGUUCACAUAUGCGCUGGUUGGCUGGGAAGGAUCAGCACAUGAUGCUAACAUCCUAAGUGACAACAUGUGUAGACCUGAUGGAGUCAACAUACUAGAUGGCAGGUUCUACCUAGGAGAUGUUGGCUAUGCAUGUCGGUCAGGUGUUCUUCCACCCUUCAGGAAAACCAAGUACCAUCUGAACGAGUUCUCUGAUGAACUUGUGCCGAAGGACGAAGAUGUGAUGCCGCCUGAUGUGAUCGGCACCGGCCAUGGUGUGAAGGCAUUUGACAACUAA